UGUAUUAUGCUUCUUAUUUCUCCACUGCUACACUCAUAAAAUACAGAAUCUCCCAUUCAUCUUCUACAUGCACUUCUGUUGGGGAACUAUUCAUGUUUGGUUUCUUUGAUGAUUUUUCUCCUUCCUCUUCCUUCAUUAUUUUUCAUUCUCCUCUUCAUUUUCUGUUACUUCUUUUCAUUUCUCAAGUGUUUCAUGUCGGUAAAUUCUUUUACUUUAUAGUUUAAUUAAGCGUUUAAGAUUUUAACCUAAAUUUUAAAAUUGGAGAUUUUUACAAUUCAAUCAAUCUUCAAGCGGUUAAAUAUUCUCAAAUACAGAUAGUGUUUCUUGGAAUUUCAAGGGAACAAAUUGGCGAAGACUACAAUAAAGAUGCUUGAUAGUGCUAUGUGGGGCUCAUAUAGAGAGGUAAGGAAUUGAAUUUCACAUCCUGGGUAAGCUAUAAGGAUUCCUUUGCCAACUUUGAUCUUUCAUUUAUUGGGAUUUUAAUUUUUGCUCUUUCUAAUUCUCCUCUUUCUCUCUCUGUUGACUGUUGUUGGAUUGCAAUUGUUUGAACGGUAAAUGAUAAUCAAAUCUUUGCUACUUCUUCAUUUCUAUAAUCUUUUUUCCUGCAAUCUCAGUAUAAUACAACUGCCUCGCCGAACUUGUUCUCUUGGCUAUUGAAAAUCUUAGUCCUAUUUGCUAUAUCUCACCAGUUAUCUUUGAUUUUUGCAGGUUUAAUGACUUUUGAUGAGGAAAAAAUAUUGUUGGGAUGUUAGUGGCUAAAUUUAUUCUCCCAAAUCCCAUUCCAUUGCCUCAUUGUGGUAUGAUAUGGAUGAGUUGUUGUGACUUUAAGCUUACCCCUCCUCUUUUCCUCCCUUUUUUUGUGGCUAUAUUUCUUUUAUGUGCUUCCAUUUUUGGGUGCAUGUCGGUUCACUUUGUCUUCUUUAACAAUUGCGCGUAUGAUUUUUUUCACGGUUUGUAACUUUGAUGAUCUGGCUGUGGUAUGAAUAUUCAAUUAAUUAGACAAUUGAUCAUUCCUUCCAACUUGGCAUGCAUAUCUCUUCUACUUGAUUUUCCUAGAGCUAAUAGUUGAGUUGACAUUGGAUGCCAUUGGUGAUUACUUAAGUUCUUUGUUAGUUGGGAGAUAGAAAUUGAAACAAGUUUAUAUUGAGAAGAGUUGUUUUGUAGUUUCUGAGCAGCGAAAGUAGUUUACAAAGUCGUUGGUUUACUCUUGAACUUAAAUGCAAAUGCAAAAAUU
This 1234-nucleotide long non-coding RNA is filed under the name Nicotiana tabacum (common tobacco). RNAcentral's name for it is "long non-coding RNA (NTAB_LNC003637)". Lineage: Eukaryota; Viridiplantae; Streptophyta; Magnoliopsida; Solanales; Solanaceae. The record is from RNAcentral.